AUUGAACGCUGGCGGCAUGCCUAACACAUGCAAGUCGAACGGCAGCACGGCAGUAGCAAUACUGUGGGUGGCGAGUGGCGGACGGGUGAGGAAUACGUCGGAAUCUGCCCAGUCGUGGGGGAUAACUAGCCGAAAGGUUAGCUAAUACCGCAUACGACCGAGAGGUGAAAGCGGGGGACCGCAAGGCCUCGCGCGAUUGGAUGAGCCGACGUCGGAUUAGCUAGUUGGUGGGGUAAAGGCCCGACCAAGGCGACGAUCCGUAGCUGGUCUGAGAGGAUGAUCAGCCACACUGGAACUGAGACACGGUCCAGACUCCUACGGGAGGCAGCAGUGGGGAAUAUUGGACAAUGGGCGCAAGCCUGAUCCAGCAAUGCCGCGUGUGUGAAGAAGGCC
This 393-nucleotide ribosomal RNA is filed under the name uncultured bacterium. RNAcentral's name for it is "bacterial SSU rRNA". It matches the Rfam family "Bacterial small subunit ribosomal RNA", at positions 29 to 416 of the family's 1533-position model. The record is from RNAcentral.